GAUGAAGAACGCAGCGAAAUGCGAUAAGUAAUGUGAAUUGCAGAAUUCAGUGAAUCAUCGAAUCUUUGAACGCACCUUGCACCCUUUGGCAUUCUGAAGGGUAUGCUCGUUUGAGUGUCAUUGUACUCUCACACUCCCGAUCUUUGCAUUGGGAGCAGUGGACUUGGGUUUGCUGCUUCACCGUCGCUUACCUCAAAUAGGUUAGUGCAACUCUUGGUUGGACAUAGUACGGCGUGAUAAGUGUUCUUCGCCGGUGCCUCGCAAAGAGGGUGGCCGAUCGGGAUGUUGUGCUCCAAACCGUCUUCGGACAAUCUCUGACGACUUGACCUCAAAUCGAGUAAGACUACCCGCUGAACUUAAGCAUAUCAAUAAGCGGUGGA
RNAcentral lists this unclassified non-coding RNA (380 nucleotides) under soil metagenome. RNAcentral's name for it is "partial contains 5.8S ribosomal RNA, internal transcribed spacer 2, and large subunit ribosomal RNA". The stretch from base 1 to 120 matches the Rfam family "5.8S ribosomal RNA", at positions 35 to 154 of the family's 154-position model. The record is from RNAcentral.